UGACUUGAUGUCAUGUAUAUGAUUGAGUAUAACAACAUAAACCGCAACCCAAUCUUAAAAGCCUAUGUAGUGUUUCCUUGUUAGAAGACACAAAGCCAAAGACUCAUAUGGAAUUUGGCUAGACCAUGAAAGCUUUGAGAAGCAAGAAGAAGGUUGGUUAGUGUUUUGGAGUUGAAUAUGACUUGAUGUCAUGUGUAUUAUUGAGUAUAAGAACUUAAACAGAAACAUAAUCUUAUAAGCCUAAAUAGUGUUUCCUUGUUAGAAGAUACAAAGCCAAAGACUCAUACGGACUUUGGCUACAGCAUGAAAGCUUUGAGAAGCUAGAAGAAGGUUGGUUAGUGUUUCGGAGUCGAAUAUGACUUGAUGUGAUGUGUAUGAUAAAGUAUAAGAACUUAAACCGCAACCGGAUCUUAAAGGCGUAAGAAUUGUAUCCUUGUUAGAAGGCACAAAUCCAAAGACUCAUAUGGACUUUGGCUACACCAUGAAAGCUUUGAGAAGCAAGAAGAAGGUUGGUUAGUGUUUUCGAGUCGAAUAUGACUUGGUGUCAUGUGUAUGAUUGAGUAUAACAACUUAAACCGUAACUCGAUCUUAAAAGCCUAAGUAGUGUAUCCUUGUUAGAAUACACAAAGCCAAAGACUCAUAUGGACUUUGGCUACACCAUGAAAGGUUUGAUAAGCAAGAAGUAGGUUGGUUAGUGUUUUGGAGUCGAAUAUGACUUGUUGCCAUGUGUAUGAUUGAGUAUAACAACUUAAAGCACAACCCAAUCUUAAAAGCCUAGGUAGUGUUUCCUUAUUAGAAGAAACAAAGCCAAAGACUCAUAUGGAGUUUGGCUACACCAUGAAAGCUUUGAAAAGUAAGAAGAAGGUUGGUUAGUGUUUUGGAGUCGAAUAUGACUUGAUGUCAUGUGUAUGAUUGAGUAUAACAACAUAAACCGCAACCCAAUCUUAAAAGCCUAAGUAGUGUUUCCUUGUUAGAAGACACAAAGCCAAAGACUCAUAUGGAAUUUGGCUAGACCAUGAAAGCUUUGGGAAGCAAGAUGAAGGUUGGUUAGUGUUUUGGAGUCGAAUAUGACUUGAUGUUAUGCGUAUGAUUGAGUAUAAGACUUAAACCGCAACCGGAUCUUAAAGGCGUAAGAAUUGUAUCGUUGUUAGAAGACACAAAGGCAAAGACUCAUAUGGACUUUGGCUACACCAUGAAAGCUUUGAGAAGCAAGAAGAAGGUUGGUUAGUGUUUUGGAGUUGAAUAUGACUUGAUGUCAUGUGUAUUAUUGAGUAUAAGAACUUAAACAACAACAUAAUCUUAUAAGCCUAAGUAGUGUUUCCUUGUUAGAAGAUACAAAGCCAAAGACUCAUACGGACUUUUGCUACACCAUGAAAGCUUUGAGAAGCUAGAAGAAGGUUUGUUAGUGUUUCGGAGUCGAAUAUGACUUGAUGUGAUGUGUAUGAUUGAGUAUAAGAACUUAAACCGCAACCGGAUCUUAAAGGCGUAAGAAUUGUAUCCUUGUUAGAAGGCACAAAUCCAAAGACUCAUAUGGACUUUGGCUACACCAUGAAAGCUUUGAGAAGCAAGAAGAAGGUUGGUUAGUGUUUUCAAGUCGAAUAUGACUUGGUGUCAUGUGUAUGAUUGAGUAGAACAACUUAAACCGCAACUCGAUCUUAAAAGCCUAAGUAGUGUAUCCUUGUUAGAAUACACAAAGCCAAAGACUCAUAUGGACUUUGGCUACACCAUGAAAGCUUUGAUAAGCAAAAAGAAGGUUGGUUAGUGUUUUGGAGUCGAAUAUGACUUGUUGCCAUGUGUAUGAUUGAGUAUAACAACUUAAACCACAACCCGAUCUUAAAAGCCUAAGUAGUGUUUCCUUACU
Molecule: small RNA, 1861 nt
Filed under: Arabidopsis thaliana (thale cress)
Lineage: Eukaryota; Viridiplantae; Streptophyta; Magnoliopsida; Brassicales; Brassicaceae
Description: ATSL267890
Source: RNAcentral